This 411-nucleotide ribosomal RNA is filed under the name Triticum aestivum (bread wheat). RNAcentral describes it as "partial small subunit ribosomal RNA". The record is from RNAcentral. Lineage: Eukaryota; Viridiplantae; Streptophyta; Magnoliopsida; Poales; Poaceae.
GGAGCAGCUGGAGCUGUAUGUCCGGAUAAAAAUGGGAAAUACUUAGGUGCGUCGGCGGUGGUGUACGACGGCCUCACUGACCCGGCAAGCUUGGAGGCUCAAGCAUGCAGCGAGGCACUAGCCCUCGCACAGGAUCUGAACCUACAGGAUCUUGUGAUUGCCUCAGACUGUGUCGAAGUAAUAUCUAACAUCGGCAACGCAGGGUCGCCAUCUUAUGCUCCCAUUCUGAGGGAAAUUCAAACUAGUAGGGCAAACUUUACCUCUGUUUCUUUCCGUUUUGAAAGUAGAGUUAAUAAUUUUGAGGCCCAUUCGCUUGCUAAGGGAGUUGCGUCUCUCGCGGUGGGUCGCCAUGUGUGGCUAGGGGUUCUGCCAGAUAUUGCUUGUAUUCCGGCUGUUUUGAACUUUGAAUAA